Molecule: ribosomal RNA, 253 nt
Filed under: uncultured bacterium
Lineage: Bacteria
Description: partial 16S ribosomal RNA
Rfam family: Bacterial small subunit ribosomal RNA
Source: RNAcentral
GACGUAGGGGGCGAGCGUUGUCCGGAUUCAUUGGGCGUAAAGAGCGCGUAGGCGGCCCGGAAAGUGGGGUGUGAAAACCCGAGGCUCAACCUCGGGCGUGCAUUCCAAACUCCUGGGCUUGAGGCAGGUAGGGGAGAUCGGAAUUCCUGGUGUAGCGGUGAAAUGCGCAGAUAUCAGGAAGAACACCCGUGGCAAAAGCGGCUCUCUGGAACGGUACUGACGCUGAGACGCGAAAGCGUGGGGAGCGAACAGG